AGGUGCCCGUACCGCAAACCGACACAGGUAGGCGAGGAGAGAAUCCUAAGGUGAGCGAGUGAACUCUCGUUAAGGAACUCGGCAAAAUGACCCCGUAACUUCGGGAGAAGGGGUGCUCUUUGGGGUGCAUAGCCCUGAGGAGCCGCAGUGAAUAGGCCCAGGCGACUGUUUAGCAAAAACACAGGUCUCUGCGAAGCCGCAAGGCGAAGUAUAGGGGCUGACGCCUGCCCGGUGCUGGAAGGUUAAGAGGAGGGGUUAGCUUACGCGAAGCUCUGAAUUGAAGCCCCAGUAAACGGCGGCCGUAACUAUAACGGUCCUAAGGUAGCGAAAUUCCUUGUCGGGUAAGUUCCGACCCGCACGAAAGGCGUAACGAUCUGGGCACUGUCUCAACGAGAGACUCGGUGAAAUUAUAGUACCUGUGAAGAUGCAGGUUACCCGCGACAGGACGGAAAGACCCCGUGGAGCUUUACUGCAGCCUGAUAUUGAAUUUCGGCACAGCUUGUACAGGAUAGGUAGGAGCCUUUGAAACCGGAGCGCCAGCUUCGGUGGAGGCGUCGGUGGGAUACUACCCUGGCUGUGUUGAACUUCUAACCCGCACCCGUGAUCCGGGUGGGAGACAGUGUCAGGCAGGCAGUUUGACUGGGGCGGUCGCCUCCUAAAGAGUAACGGAGGCGCCCAAAGGUUCCCUCAGAAUGGUUGGAAAUCAUUCGCAGAGUGUAAAGGCACAAGGGAGCUUGACUGCGAGACCUACAAGUCGAGCAGGGACGAAAGUCGGGCUUAGUGAUCCGGUGGUUCCGCAUGGAAGGGCCAUCGCUCAACGGAUAAAAGCUACCCCGGGGAUAACAGGCUUAUCUCCCCCAAGAGUCCACAUCGACGGGGAGGUUUGGCACCUCGAUGUCGGCUCAUCGCAUCCUGGGGCUGUAGUCGGUCCCAAGGGUUGGGCUGUUCGCCCAUUAAAGCGGUACGCGAGCUGGGUUCAGAACGUCGUGAGACAGUUCGGUCCCUAUCCGUCGCGGGCGCAGGAAAUUUGAGAGGAGCUGUCCUUAGUACGAGAGGACCGGGAUGGACGCACCGCUGGUGUACCAGUUGUCUUGCCAAAGGCAUCGCUGGGUAGCUAUGUGCGGACGGGAUAAGUGCUGAAAGCAUCUAAGCAUGAAGCCCCCCUCAAGAUGAGAUUUCCCAUAGCGUCAAGCUAGUAAGAUCCCUGAAAGAUGAUCAGGUAGAUAGGUUCGAGGUGGAAGCGUGGCGACACGUGGAGCUGACGAAUACUAAUCGAUCGAGGACUUAUCCUA
RNAcentral lists this non-coding RNA (1292 nucleotides) under Bacillus thermotolerans. RNAcentral's name for it is "Quasibacillus thermotolerans Bacterial large subunit ribosomal RNA". It matches the Rfam family "Bacterial large subunit ribosomal RNA", at positions 1636 to 2925 of the family's 2925-position model. The record is from Rfam by way of RNAcentral. Lineage: Bacteria; Bacillati; Bacillota; Bacilli; Caryophanales; Bacillaceae.